CCUACGGGCGGCAGCAGUGAGGAAUAUUGGUCAAUGGUCGGGAGACUGAACCAGCCAAGCCGCGUGAGGGAGGAAGGUACAGAGUAUCGUAAACCUCUUUUGUCAGGGAACAAAGGCGGGGACGUGUCCCCGGAUGAGUGUACCUGAAGAAAAAGCAUCGGCUAACUCCGUGCCAGCAGCCGCGGUAAUACGGAGGAUGCGAGCGUUAUCCGGAUUUAUUGGGUUUAAAGGGAGCGUAGACGGCCGUGCAAGCCAGGAGUGAAAGCCCGGGGCCCAACCCCGGGACUGCUCUUGGAACUGUGCGGCUGGAGUGCGGGAGGGGCAGGCGGAAUUCCUGGUGUAGCGGUGAAAUGCGUAGAUAUCAGGAGGAACACCGGCGGCGAAGGCGGCCUGCUGGACCGCGACUGACGUUGAGGCUCGAAAGCGUGGGGAGCGAACAGGAUUAGAUACCCGAGUAGU
RNAcentral lists this ribosomal RNA (459 nucleotides) under uncultured bacterium. RNAcentral describes it as "partial 16S ribosomal RNA". It matches the Rfam family "Bacterial small subunit ribosomal RNA", at positions 338 to 794 of the family's 1533-position model. The record is from RNAcentral.